CGGUAGGUGAACCUGCGGAAGGAUCAUUACCAGAUUCAAAA
Molecule: ribosomal RNA, 41 nt
Filed under: Morchella vulgaris
Lineage: Eukaryota; Fungi; Ascomycota; Pezizomycetes; Pezizales; Morchellaceae
Description: partial 17S ribosomal RNA
Source: RNAcentral